This 28-nucleotide small RNA is filed under the name Bombyx mori (domestic silkworm). RNAcentral's name for it is "ovarian small RNA-21465". The record is from RNAcentral. Lineage: Eukaryota; Metazoa; Arthropoda; Insecta; Lepidoptera; Bombycidae.
UACUGAGUGCAUGACUUAAUGUGUCUAU